GAGUUUGAUCCUGGCUCAGGAUGAACGCUAGCUGGAGGCUUAAUACAUGCAAGUCGAGCGGGAUUAGGGUAGUAAUACCUUAUGAGAGCGGCGAACGGGUGAGUAACGCGUACACGACCUACCUUUGACUGGGGGAUAGCCCUGGGAAACUGGGAUUAAUACCGCAUAUAAUUCUGAUAAGUAAAGAGAUUGGAAUGAAAGUUCAGGCGGUCAGAGAUGGGUGUGCGUCUGAUUAGCUAGUUGGUAAGGUAACGGCUUACCAAGGCGAUGAUCAGUAGGGGGCGUGAGAGCGUGGUCCCCCACACGGGUACUGAGACACGGACCCGACUCCUACGGGAGGCAGCAGUAAGGAAUAUUGGACAAUGGCCGCAAGGCUGAUCCAGCCAUCCAGCGUGCAGGAAGAAGGCCCUAUGGGUUGUAAACUGCUUUUAUCAGGGAAGAAACCUUUCGAUUUAUCGGAAACUGACGGUACCUGAAGAAUAAGCACCGGCUAACUCCGUGCCAGCAGCCGCGGUAAUACGGAGGGUGCGAGCGUUAUCCGGAAUUACUGGGUUUAAAGGGUGCGUAGGCGGCUAUGUAAGUCAGGAGUGAAAGUUUGCGGCUCAACCGUAAAAUUGCUUUUGAUACUGCAUGGCU
This 636-nucleotide ribosomal RNA is filed under the name uncultured bacterium. RNAcentral describes it as "bacterial SSU rRNA". It matches the Rfam family "Bacterial small subunit ribosomal RNA", at positions 9 to 642 of the family's 1533-position model. The record is from RNAcentral.